RNAcentral lists this ribosomal RNA (201 nucleotides) under uncultured bacterium. Its description in RNAcentral is "partial 16S ribosomal RNA". It matches the Rfam family "Bacterial small subunit ribosomal RNA", at positions 338 to 556 of the family's 1533-position model. The record is from RNAcentral.
CCUACGGGAGGCAGCAGUGGGGAAUAUUGGACAACGGGGGCAACCCUGAUCCAGCCAUGCCGCGUGAGUGAUGAAGGCCUUAGGGUUGUAAAGCUCAUUCACCGGGGAAGAUAAUGACGGUACCCGGAGAAGAAGCCCCGGCUAACUUCGUGCCAGCAGCCGCGGUAAUACGAAGGGGGCUAGCGUUGUUCGGAAUUACUG